Molecule: ribosomal RNA, 253 nt
Filed under: uncultured bacterium
Lineage: Bacteria
Description: partial 16S ribosomal RNA
Rfam family: Bacterial small subunit ribosomal RNA
Source: RNAcentral
GACAUAGGUGGCAACCGUUAUCCGGAAUUACUGGGCGUAAAGCGUGCGUAGGUGGUGAGUUAAGUCUGAUGUGAAAUCCCCGGGCUCAACCUGGGAAUGGCAUUGGAUACUGGCUCGCUAGAGUGCGGUAGAGGGUGGUGGAAUUCCCGGUGUAGCAGUGAAAUGCGUAGAUAUCAGGAGGAACACCAAUGGCGAAGGCAGCUCGCUGGGACGGUACUGACGCUGAGACGCGAAAGCGUGGGGAGCAAACAGG